CCUACGGGUGGCAGCAGUGAGGAAUAUUGGUCAAUGGACGAGAGUCUGAACCAGCCAAGUAGCGUGAAGGAUGACUGCCCUAUGGGUUGUAAACUUCUUUUAUAUGGGAAUAAACUGUUCCACGUGUGGUCUUUUGUAUGUACCAUAUGAAUAAGGAUCGGCUAACUCCGUGCCAGCAGCCGCGGUAAUACGGAGGAUCCGAGCGUUAUCCGGAUUUAUUGGGUUUAAAGGGAGCGUAGGUGGAUUGUUAAGUCAGUUGUGAAAGUUUGCGGCUCAACCGUAAAAUUGCCGUUGAAACUGGUAGUCUUGAGUACAGUAGAGGUGGGCGGAAUUCGUGGUGUAGCGGUGAAAUGCUUAGAGAUCACGAAGAACUCCGAUUGCGAAGGCAGCUUACUGGACUGCAACUGACACUGAGGCUCGAAAGUGUGGGUAUCAAACAGGAUUAGAUACCCCAGUAGUC
Molecule: ribosomal RNA, 460 nt
Filed under: uncultured bacterium
Lineage: Bacteria
Description: partial 16S ribosomal RNA
Rfam family: Bacterial small subunit ribosomal RNA
Source: RNAcentral